RNAcentral lists this ribosomal RNA (253 nucleotides) under uncultured bacterium. Its description in RNAcentral is "partial 16S ribosomal RNA". It matches the Rfam family "Bacterial small subunit ribosomal RNA", at positions 524 to 776 of the family's 1533-position model. The record is from RNAcentral.
UACGAAGGGGGCUAGUGUUGCUCGGAAUUACUGGGCGUAAAGGGCGCGUAGGCGGAUAUCUAAGUUGGGGGUGAAAUCCCGGGGCUCAACCUCGGAAUUGCCUUCAAGACUGGAUAUCUUGAGUUCGGGAGAGGUGAGUGGAAUGCCGAGUGUAGAGGUGAAAUUCGUAGAUAUUCGGCGGAACACCAGUGGCGAAGGCGACUCACUGGCCCGAUACUGACGCUGAGGCGCGAUAGCGUGGGGAUCAAACAGG